CAACUUUCCACAACGGAUCUCUUGGCUCUCGCAUCGAUGAAGAACGCAGCGAAAUGCGAUAAGUAAUGUGAAUUGCAGAAUUCAGUGAAUCAUCGAAUCUUUGAACGCACCUUGCGCUCCUUGGUAUUCCGAGGAGCAUGCCUGUUUGAGUGUCAUUA
RNAcentral lists this ribosomal RNA (158 nucleotides) under Melanoleuca alboflavida. RNAcentral's name for it is "5.8S ribosomal RNA". It matches the Rfam family "5.8S ribosomal RNA". From Rfam's summary of the family: 5.8S ribosomal RNA (5.8S rRNA) is a component of the large subunit of the eukaryotic ribosome. Lineage: Eukaryota; Fungi; Basidiomycota; Agaricomycetes; Agaricales; Pluteaceae. The record is from RNAcentral.